CUGGAAUCCUCUGCCUGUCCUGACUUUCACUACUUUCCUGCGCGCCUGCUGCAGCACCAUGUUGUCUCAGGCUGCAUCACCGGACCGCAGGAGCACAGGGCCGCACCAGUACCCUGGGGCCAGGAACAGGAGAGUCUGCAGGGCAGAGCCUCUGGACCUAUUUGUUCCUGAGCUGGCACGUAGUACAGCCUGUGAACCUGCGAACCCAGGUGCCAGAACUGGGCCAGUGAAGAUACAGAACCUGGUGUAACAGCAUCCUCCUUGGAGUUAUGGGGGUGGCCUCAGUUCAGGAUCUCAUUAGUAAGUUAUGCAAUGUAUAUGGUGCCCUUCCCAACAAGGGCUCAGGGCAGCUCCCAGGGCAACUAAAAUAUCAGAUAAAACAGAGACCCACUAAACAACAUCUCAGCCUAGCUGUGUUUGCUAAAUGUCUGCCCAAAUAAAAAGA
Alligator sinensis (Chinese alligator) is the source of this 445-nucleotide long non-coding RNA. RefSeq lists it as uncharacterized. NCBI's taxonomy places the organism in Eukaryota, Metazoa, Chordata, Crocodylia, Alligatoridae. The record is from RefSeq and is a predicted model, not a curated record. The transcript has 3 exons.